RNAcentral lists this ribosomal RNA (482 nucleotides) under uncultured bacterium. RNAcentral's name for it is "partial 16S ribosomal RNA". It matches the Rfam family "Bacterial small subunit ribosomal RNA", at positions 28 to 523 of the family's 1533-position model. The record is from RNAcentral.
GACGAACGCUGGCGGCGUGCUUAACACAUGCAAGUCGAGCGAUGAAACCUAGCUUGCUAGGUCGAUUAGUGGCGAACGGGUGAGUAACACGUGACUAACCUGCCCCUUUCUCUGGGAUAACGCUCCGAAAGGAGUGCUAAUACCGGAUACUCACACCUAGGCACAUGCCUUGGGGUGGAAAGUUUUUCGGAAAGGGAUGGAGUCGCGGCCUAUCAGCUUGUUGGGGAGGUAACGGCUCACCAAGGCGACGACGGGUAGCCGGCCUGAGAGGGCGACCGGCCAAACUGGGACUGAGACACGGCCCAGACUCCUACGGGAGGCAGCAGUGGGGAAUAUUGCACAAUGGGCGCAAGCCUGAUGCAGCGACGCCGCGUGAGGGAUGAAGGUCUUCGGAUUGUAAACCUCUUUCAGUAGGGACGAAGCGAAAGUGACGGUACCUAAAGAAGAAGCACCGGCUAACUACGUGCCAGCCGCCGCCGUAA